GAUCCUGGCUACAGGACACGCUGGCGGCGUGCCUAACACAUGCAAGUCGAACGGAGCACUUCGGUGCUUAGUGGCGGACGGGUGAGUAACACGUGAGUAAUCUGCCUUUGUNAGGGGGGACAACAUCUGGAAACGGAUGCUAAUACCGCAUAACGUGUUUUGAUCGCAUGAUCGAAACACCAAAGAUUUAUCGCACAAAGAUGAGCUCGCGGCUGAUUAGAUAGUUGCGGGGUAACGGCCCACCAAGUCGACGAUCAGUAGCCGGACUGAGAGGUUGAUCGGCCACAUUGGGACUGAGACACGGCCCAGACUCCUACGGGAGGCAGCAGUGGGGGAUAUUGCACAAUGGGGGAAACCCUGAUGCAGCGACGCCGCGUGAGGGAAGAAGGUUUUCGGAUUGUAAACCUCUGUCUUGUGGGACGAUAAUGACGGUACCACAGGAGGAAGCCACGGCUAACUACGUG
This 464-nucleotide ribosomal RNA is filed under the name uncultured bacterium. RNAcentral's name for it is "bacterial SSU rRNA". It matches the Rfam family "Bacterial small subunit ribosomal RNA", at positions 15 to 507 of the family's 1533-position model. The record is from RNAcentral.